CCUACGGGAGGCAGCAGUAGGGAAUCUUCCACAAUGGGCGAAAGCCUGAUGGAGCAACGCCGCGUGGGUGAAGAAGGUCUUCGGAUCGUAAAACCCUGUUGUUAGAGAAGAAAGUGCGUGAGAGUAACUGUUCACGUCUCGACGGUAUCUACCCAGAAAGCCACGGCUAACUACGUGCCAGCAGCCGCGGUAAUACGUAGGUGGCAAGCGUUAUCCGGAUGUAUUGGGCGUAAAGGGAACGCAGGCGGUCUUUUAAGUCUGAUGUGAAAGCCUUCGGCUUAACCGGAGUAGUGCAUUGGAAACUGGGAGACUUGAGUGCAGAAGAGGAGAGUGGAACUCCAUGUGUAGCGGUGAAAUGCGUAGAUAUAUGGAAGAACACCAGUGGCGAAGGCGGCUCUCUGGUCUGUAACUGACGCUGAGGUCCGAAAGCGUGGGUAGCAAACAGGAUUAGAUACCCUGGUAGUC
RNAcentral lists this ribosomal RNA (465 nucleotides) under uncultured bacterium. RNAcentral's name for it is "partial 16S ribosomal RNA". It matches the Rfam family "Bacterial small subunit ribosomal RNA", at positions 338 to 795 of the family's 1533-position model. The record is from RNAcentral.